ACUCAAAUGAAUAGACGGGGACCCGCACAAGCGGUGGAGCAUGUUCUUUAAUUCGACGCAACGCGAAGAACCUUACCCACACUUGACAUCCUUCUUGGGAGGGGCAGAGACGCCCCUUUUCGGUUCGGCCGGGGAAGUGACAGGUGCUGCAUGGCUGUCGUCAGCUCGUGUCGUGAGAUGUUGGGUUAAGUCCCGCAACGAGCGCAACCCUUAUCGUCUGUUGCCAUCAUUAAGUUGGGCACUCUGACGAGACCGCCGGUGACAAGCCGGAGGAAGGUGGGGACGACGUCAAGUCAUCAUGGCCCUUACGUGUGGGGCUAGAAACGUGCUACAAUGGCGGUGACAGUGGGCACCUAGGCUGCGAGGCCAAGGAAAUCCCUAAAAGCCGUCUCAGUUCGGAUUAUUCUCUGCAACUCGAGAGUAUGAAGCUGGAAUCGCUAGUAAUCGUGGAUCAGCAUGCCACGGUGAAUACGUUCCCGGGUCUUGCACACACCGCCCGU
RNAcentral lists this ribosomal RNA (500 nucleotides) under uncultured bacterium. Its description in RNAcentral is "partial 16S ribosomal RNA". It matches the Rfam family "Bacterial small subunit ribosomal RNA", at positions 899 to 1397 of the family's 1533-position model. The record is from RNAcentral.